CUACUUACCUGGCAGGGGAGAUACCAUGAUCACGAAGGUGGUUUUCCCAGGACGAGGCUUAUCCAUCGCACUCUGGAUGUGCCGACCCCUGUGAUUUCCCCAAAUGUGGAAACUCAACUGCAUAAUUUGUGGUAGUGGGGGACUGCAUUCGUGCUUUCCCCUG
Molecule: small nuclear RNA, 163 nt
Organism: Cynocephalus volans (Philippine flying lemur)
Lineage: Eukaryota; Metazoa; Chordata; Mammalia; Dermoptera; Cynocephalidae
Product: U1 spliceosomal RNA
Exons: 1
Source: RefSeq, a predicted model, not a curated record